This 297-nucleotide long non-coding RNA is filed under the name Helianthus annuus (common sunflower). Its description in RNAcentral is "sRNA HanXRQr2_Chr05g0224771". The record is from RNAcentral. Lineage: Eukaryota; Viridiplantae; Streptophyta; Magnoliopsida; Asterales; Asteraceae.
GGGGGGGCCGUCAUCAUCGAAUUCAAGGACGAAUUUAGUUUUUCCAUCUCAUCUUCGAAGCCAAUCCAUGAAUUCUAACCAAUCCGGGAUGACAACCGAAGCGGCAAAGACAACCAUGCACGGCUAAGCCUCUCGUGACUUCUACCCGGAUGAACUUUUGCUUGUUUUUGCAUUAAACUUUGUUUACGGAUUUCUUAUAACUGGUACAGCUUGACCACUUAUGUUGGAUUAUUGGUAACACAAUGUGAAAGCCAAUAGAAGCUAGCUGGAGAGCACUGAAGGCUUGGAAAAGUGGCU